UAGGGAAUCUUCGGCAAUGGACGAAAGUCUGACCGAGCAACGCCGCGUGAGUGAAGAAGGUUUUCGGAUCGUAAAACUCUGUUGUUAGAGAAGAACAAGGACGUUAGUAACUGAACGUCCCCUGACGGUAUCUAACCAGAAAGCCACGGCUAACUACGUGCCAGCAGCCGCGGUAAUACGUAGGUGGCAAGCGUUGUCCGGAUUUAUUGGGCGUAAAGCGAGCGCAGGCGGUUUCUUAAGUCUGAUGUGAAAGCCCCCGGCUCAACCGAGGAGGGUCAUUGGAAACUGAGAGACUUGAGUGCAGGAGAGGGGAGUGGAAGUCCAUGUGUAGCGGUAAAAUACGUAAAUAUAUGGAGAAACACCAGUGGCGAAGGCGGCUCUCUGGUCUGUAACUGACACUGAGGCUCGAAAGCGUGGGGAGCAAACAGG
RNAcentral lists this ribosomal RNA (429 nucleotides) under Gemmatimonadota bacterium. RNAcentral describes it as "Gemmatimonadetes bacterium partial 16S ribosomal RNA". It matches the Rfam family "Bacterial small subunit ribosomal RNA", at positions 355 to 776 of the family's 1533-position model. Lineage: Bacteria; Pseudomonadati; Gemmatimonadota. The record is from RNAcentral.